Molecule: ribosomal RNA, 702 nt
Filed under: Virgibacillus sp.
Lineage: Bacteria; Bacillati; Bacillota; Bacilli; Caryophanales; Bacillaceae
Description: bacterial SSU rRNA
Rfam family: Bacterial small subunit ribosomal RNA
Source: RNAcentral
GGGAAUAACCCCGGGAAACCGGGGCUAAUGCCCAAUACGCCCUGACCUCGCCUGAGGUCAGCGGCAAAGCAGGGAUCUUCGGAUCCUUGCACAGUCCGAUGGGCCCGCGGCGCAUUAGCUAGUUGGAGAGGUAAGGGCUCCCCAAGGCGACGAUGCGUAGCCGACCUGAGAGGGUGAUCGGCCACACUGGGACUGAGACACGGCCCAGACUCCUACGGGAGGCAGCAGUAGGGAAUCAUCCGCAAUGGGCGAAAGCCUGACGGUGCAACGCCGCGUGAGUGAUGAAGGUUUUCGGAUCGUAAAGCUCUGUUGACAGGGAAGAACCCACGCCAGUCGAACAGGCUGGCGUGCUGACGGUACCUGUCCAGAAAGCCCCGGCUAACUACGUGCCAGCAGCCGCGGUAAUACGUAGGGGGCAAGCGUUGUCCGGAAUUAUUGGGCGUAAAGGGCACGCAGGCGGUUUCGUCAGUCCGAUGUGACAGGCCACGGCUCAACCGUGGAAGGCCAUUGGAAACUGCGAAACUUGAGGACAGAAGAGGAGAGUGGAAUUCCACGUGUAGCGGUGAAAUGCGUAGAUAUGUGGAGGAACACCAGUGGCGAAGGCGACUCUCUGGUCUGUACCUGACGCUGAGGUGCGAAAGCAUGGGGAGCANCAGGAUUAGAUACCCUGGUAGUCCAUGCCGUAAACGCUGAGUGCUAGGU